GCCGAAGUGGCGAAAUGGCAGACGCGCUACGUUCAGGUCGUAGUCCUCGCAAGGGGGUGGAGGUUCAAGUCCUCUCUUCGGCACCA
Molecule: transfer RNA, 86 nt
Filed under: Candidatus Altimarinota bacterium
Lineage: Bacteria; Candidatus Altimarinota
Description: tRNA-Leu
Rfam family: tRNA
About the family: Transfer RNA (tRNA) molecules are approximately 80 nucleotides in length. Their secondary structure includes four short double-helical elements and three loops (D, anti-codon, and T loops).
Source: RNAcentral